UAAUACAUGCAAGUCGAGCGAACAGACGAGGAGCUUGCUCCUCUGACGUUAGCGGCGGACGGGUGAGUAACACGUGGAUAACCUACCUAUAAGACUGGGAUAACUUCGGGAAACCGGAGCUAAUACCGGAUAAUAUAUUGAACCGCAUGGUUCAAUAGUGAAAGACGGUUUUGCUGUCACUUAUAGAUGGAUCCGCGCCGCAUUAGCUAGUUGGUAAGGUAACGGCUUACCAAGGCAACGAUGCGUAGCCGACCUGAGAGGGUGAUCGGCCACACUGGAACUGAGACACGGUCCAGACUCCUACGGGAGGCAGCAGUAGGGAAUCUUCCGCAAUGGGCGAAAGCCUGACGGAGCAACGCCGCGUGAGUGAUGAAGGUCUUCGGAUCGUAAAACUCUGUUAUUAGGGAAGAACAAAUGUGUAAGUAACUAUGCACGUCUUGACGGUACCUAAUCAGAAAGCCACGGCUAACUACGUGCCAGCAGCCGCGGUAAUACGUAGGUGGCAAGCGUUAUCCGGAAUUAUUGGGCGUAAAGCGCGCGUAGGCGGUUUUUUAAGUCUGAUGUGAAAGCCCACGGCUCAACCGUGGAGGGUCAUUGGAAACUGGAAAACUUGAGUGCAGAAGAGGA
RNAcentral lists this ribosomal RNA (627 nucleotides) under uncultured Staphylococcus sp. Its description in RNAcentral is "bacterial SSU rRNA". It matches the Rfam family "Bacterial small subunit ribosomal RNA", at positions 49 to 658 of the family's 1533-position model. The record is from RNAcentral. Lineage: Bacteria; Bacillati; Bacillota; Bacilli; Caryophanales; Staphylococcaceae.